UAGUAUUUUUGAACGUCACAUUGUUAUCAGAGCAUCCCGUUACCUGGAACUCUCUUUUAAUUUACAGCUGAUGUCAGUGUUAGUGGGAUGGAUACCUUCUGGAGCAUUUCUUGUUGUUCAACAAAUCCGGUAGUGGUUGUAUUUUCCAGUAUGAAGAUGAUGUAAUUGCAAGAGACAAUUGAGCCACUCUCUGAGCCAAGAAACAGGGCUGGCUGGCCCCUGCAGAACACACCUGGGAAUAACUGAGCCAGGCACUGGAU
Molecule: long non-coding RNA, 260 nt
Filed under: Numida meleagris (helmeted guineafowl)
Lineage: Eukaryota; Metazoa; Chordata; Aves; Galliformes; Numididae
Description: lncRNA (ENSNMEG00000006605.1)
Source: RNAcentral